Molecule: ribosomal RNA, 446 nt
Filed under: uncultured Clostridiaceae bacterium
Lineage: Bacteria; Bacillati; Bacillota; Clostridia; Eubacteriales; Clostridiaceae
Description: bacterial SSU rRNA
Rfam family: Bacterial small subunit ribosomal RNA
Source: RNAcentral
CUCCUACGGGCGGCUGCAGUGGGGAAUAUUGCACAAUGGGCGAAAGCCUGAUGCAGCAACGCCGCGUGAAGGAAGAAGGCCUUCGGGUCGUAAACUUCUGUCCUUGGGGAAGAAGAACUGACGGUACCCAAGGAGGAAGCCCCGGCUAACUACGUGCCAGCAGCCGCGGUAAUACGUAGGGGGCAAGCGUUAUCCGGAAUUAUUGGGCGUAAAGAGUACGUAGGUGGCAACCUAAGCGCAGGGUUUAAGGCAAUGGCUCAACCAUUGUUCGCCCUGCGAACUGGGAUGCUUGAGUGCAGGAGAGGAAAGCGGAAUUCCUAGUGUAGCGGUGAAAUGCGUAGAUAUAUGGAAGAACACCAGUGGCGAAAGCGGCUCUCUGGUCUGUAACUGACGCUGAGGUUCGAAAGCGUGGGUAGCAAACAGGAUUAGAUACCCUGGUAGUCAAC